This 253-nucleotide ribosomal RNA is filed under the name uncultured bacterium. RNAcentral's name for it is "partial 16S ribosomal RNA". It matches the Rfam family "Bacterial small subunit ribosomal RNA", at positions 524 to 776 of the family's 1533-position model. The record is from RNAcentral.
UACAGAGGGUGCGAGAGUUUAUCGGAAUUACUGGGCGUAAAGCGCACGUAGGCGGCUUGGUAUGGCGGGUGUGAAAUCCCCGGGCUCAACCUGGGAACUGCAUCCGAAACUGCCUUGCUCGAGUAUGGGAGAGGGAAGUGGAAUUUCCGGUGUAGCGGCGAAAUGCGUAGAUAUCGGAAGGAACAUCAGUGGCGAAGGCGACUUCCUGGACCAAUACUGACGCUCAGGUGCGAAAGCGUGGGGAGCAAACAGG